CCCAGAUGGGAUUAGCUAGUAGGUGGGGUAAAGGCUCACCUAGGCGACGAUCCCUAGCUGGUCUGAGAGGAUGACCAGCCACACUGGAACUGAGACACGGUCCAGACUCCUACGGGAGGCAGCAGUGGGGAAUAUUGCACAAUGGGCGCAAGCCUGAUGCAGCCAUGCCGCGUGUAUGAAGAAGGCCUUCGGGUUGUAAAGUACUUUCAGCGGGGAGGAAGGGAGUAAAGUUAAUACCUUUGCUCAUUGACGUUACCCGCAGAAGAAGCACCGGCUAACUCCGUGCCAGCAGCCGCGGUAAUACGGAGGGUGCAAGCGUUAAUCGGAAUUACUGGGCGUAAAGCGCACGCAGGCGGUUUGUUAAGUCAGAUGUGAAAUCCCCGGGCUCAACCUGGGAACUGCAUCUGAUACUGGCAAGCUUGAGUCUCGUAGAGGGGGGUAGAAUUCCAGGUGUAGCGGUGAAAUGCGUAGAGAUCUGGAGGAAUACCGGUGGCGAAGGCGGCCCCC
This 507-nucleotide ribosomal RNA is filed under the name Escherichia coli. Its description in RNAcentral is "bacterial SSU rRNA". It matches the Rfam family "Bacterial small subunit ribosomal RNA", at positions 230 to 729 of the family's 1533-position model. The record is from RNAcentral. Lineage: Bacteria; Pseudomonadati; Pseudomonadota; Gammaproteobacteria; Enterobacterales; Enterobacteriaceae.